This 36-nucleotide transfer RNA is filed under the name Datura stramonium (jimsonweed). Its description in RNAcentral is "partial tRNA-His". RNAcentral also lists the same sequence under 20 other names. Lineage: Eukaryota; Viridiplantae; Streptophyta; Magnoliopsida; Solanales; Solanaceae. The record is from RNAcentral.
CGGAUGUAGCCAAGUGGAUCAAGGCAGUGGAUUGUG